CGUUGCUCUUCAAGUGUCCUGGAUUUCAAGAACUGGGACUUUUGUGACUGUCACUUAUGUAAACUGGGAAAUUAGUCUAUGGUCUGGUCCAGUGGUGGGUUGCCCCCGGUUCGGACCGGUUCUAUAGAACUGGUAGUAAAACCGCCGGGAGGCUCCGCCCACUGACCUGAAUGUUAUCAAAAGUGAUCUGCACAUGCGCAGAGGAGUGUGCGCGUGUGGGCACAACACAAGCCGAUAUUAAAGGUGCUUCACUUUCACACUGAAGGAAGGAACUUCCAGGCCGAUGCUUUAUCAAGGAAGCCAAAUACAAUGGCACCUGGGAAGACAUGGUGCACACUAUGGUGCCAGGACCCUUGAAAGUGGCAGAGGUGGACGAAAGGGACCAGAGUAUGAGGCCAAAGCGGAAGGAUAGGGACGAUAUUCCCCGUUCCCUACAAACAGCCCUGCUCGCCGACCCUUGGUUCCAGGCAAACCAGCACCUGCUUAUGUGGCGCGACAGCCUCACGUGGAAAGGGUCAAAAAUAUAUGUGCCGGACUCCCAGCACCUGACCGUGUUGCAAAAAUGCUAUGAUGCCCAAACUGUUGGGCAUUUUGGAUUUCUGAAGACCCUCCAUCUAACGAACUGACAGUUUUGGUGGCUGUGGAUGAAGGUGCUCCUCCUGCCACUACAUGUAAAUACAACUGUGUCUUAUUACAUCUAAACUUCCUAAAAACUAGUAUGAGCUUGAGGGCGGUUAUAGCAUUCCCAGAAUUAAUUACAGGUAGUCCUCGACUUAUGACCACCAUUGGGACAGGAAGUUCUGUUGCUAAGCGAUGCACUUGUUAGGUGAGUUCCUGCCUCACUUUAUGAAAUUUUAACUGUGGUCAUUAAUUAAAUCACUAUAGUUGUCAAGUGAAACUUGGAAAAAAUAUUUAAAAAACCCAACUGUUAUUUAAUAUGCUUCUUGAACCCUUUAUAGGAUGGAAAAUCAGGAAUUUCAAACUCUGAAAUGUCAGUCUUCUCAUUCUUUUUCUGUUUCAUUUGUUCAUUCGUUCCCUUCUUUCCAUUUCAAUGAAUGUUCUCAGUUACACAGCUACCUGGCUGCUACACAGCCGUUCCAAACUAUUAAUACAGCCGUUGUAUAUUAGGAAAAUGUUCAGAAAUAAAACUGGCAAGCCAAAUAUUUUUUUACAGAAAAGCGUAACUCCCAGGCCAAAAAUAGUAACAGAAGACAUAUAAAUCUUCCUUGGGAAGAAGGGCAACUGAGAGCUUUUACCACCUGGAGCAUAAGUGUUUUCAGUUUCUGAACACCAUCCAUCCUCUUUUGAUGGAAACCAUCCUCACAGAAUGAAGGUGUCAACAUCAACCGCAGCUGCUGUUCUCAUUGCGAGAGGAAGGGAAUUUUGCUUAUUCCCCAUGGCCUCCUUACGAAUCAUAUCAGGAAACAAGGCCCAGGGAUUCCAUUUCCCCUUCUUCUGUCAUCUGCCACUUGCAAUUCAGGUUUCUUUGAUGGGAUGGUCGUGAGCUUGCAUCCCGGUUAGGCACAUUUGCCAGGACAAGUUUUCUUUACUUUUAUCUCUUCUGCAGUUUGUGCGAGUACAAACACAGUGGACUGUGGAAUAAAACACGGUAACCACAGAAAGCCGCCUUGCAUUUUAGCUGAGCAAUAUACAGCCAACAAAGCUACAAGUAUCCCCAGACUCUGCUCGCAGCAUAAGACAGGCUUCCCCCCCCCCUCCAAGUUUUUUAUUUUAUAUUAUUUAUACGUAUCAAUGUGUGAAUAGUGUGAUACCGGGGUAUCAUACAUUUUGACACAAAUAGACAUAAUAUUUUUACUCAUAGUUAUUACAUUUCGUUUUGUAAUGUAGAUAAUGUAAUGCAGAAAAAACAAUUGCUACCAACCUGCCUUCCCUUGAGGACCUAUAUACUGCACGAGUCAAAAAAAGGGCUGUGAAAAUAUUUACAGAUCCCUCACAUCCGGGACAUAAAUUGUUUCAACUCCUACCCUCAAAACGACGCUAUAGAGCACUGCACACCAGAACAACUAGACACAAGAACAGUUUCUUCCUGAACGCCAUCACUCGGCUAAACAAAUAAUUCCCUCAACACUGUCAAACUAUUCACUAAGGCUGCAUUACUAUUACUAUUAGUCUUCUCACCGUUCCUAUCACCCAUCUCCUUCAACUUAUGACUGUAACUUUGUUGCUUGUAUCCUUACGAUUUAUACUGAUAUUGUUUCCUGAUUGCUUAUUUGUAGCCUAUGACUAUCAUUAAGUGUUGUACCUUGAUGAAGGUUUUUUUUUUUUUAUGUACACUGAGAGCAUAUGCACCAAGACAAAUUCCUUGUGUGUCCAAUCACACUUGGCCAAUAAAGAAUUCUAUUCUAUUCUAUUCUA
Molecule: long non-coding RNA, 2376 nt
Organism: Ahaetulla prasina
Lineage: Eukaryota; Metazoa; Chordata; Lepidosauria; Squamata; Colubridae
Exons: 3
Source: RefSeq, a predicted model, not a curated record